RNAcentral lists this ribosomal RNA (492 nucleotides) under uncultured bacterium. Its description in RNAcentral is "partial 16S ribosomal RNA". It matches the Rfam family "Bacterial small subunit ribosomal RNA", at positions 29 to 507 of the family's 1533-position model. The record is from RNAcentral.
AGUGAACGCUGGCGGUAGGCCUAACACAUGCAAGUCGAACGGCAGCACAGUAAGAGCUUGCUCUUACGGGUGGCGAGUGGCGGACGGGUGAGGAAUACAUCGGAAUCUACUUUUUCGUGGGGGAUAACGUAGGGAAACUUACGCUAAUACCGCAUACGACCUACGGGUGAAAGCAGGGGAUCUUCGGACCUUGCGCGAUUGAAUGAGCCGAUGUCGGAUUAGCUAGUUGGUGGGGUAAAGGCCCACCAAGGCGACGAUCCGUAGCUGGUCUGAGAGGAUGAUCAGCCACACUGGAACUGAGACACGGUACAGACUCCUACGGGAGGCAGCAGUGGGGAAUAUUGGACAAUGGGCGCAAGACUGAUCCAGCCAGACCGCGUGGGUGAAGAAGGCCUUCGGGUUGUAAAGCCCUUUUGUUGGGAAAGAAAAGCAGCAGGUUAAUACCCCGCUGUUCUGACGGUACCCAAAGAAUAAGCACCGGCUAACUUCGUG